UUGACCUCAAAUCAGGUAGGACUACCCGCUGAACUUAAGCAUAUCAAUAAGCGGAGGAAAAGAAACUAACAAGGAUUCCCUUAGUAACUGCGAGUGAAGAGGGAAAAGCUCAAAUUUAAAAUCUGGCAGUGUUUCACUGUCCGAGUUGUAACCUAGAGAAGUGUAACCUGUGCUGGACCGUGUAUAAGUUUCCUGGAAUGGAGCAUCACAGAGGGUGAGAAUCCCGUCUUUGACAUGGACUACCAGUGCAUUGUGGUUGUGCUCUCAACGAGUCGAGUUGUUUGGGAAUGCAGCUCUAAAUGGGUGGUAAAUUCCAUCUAAAGCUAAAUAUUGGCGAGAGACCGAUAGCGAACAAGUACCGUGAGGGAAAGAUGAAAAGAACUUUGGAAAGAGAGUUAAACAGUAUGUGAAAUUGUUGAAAGGGAAACGUUUGAAGUCAGUCGCGUUAGCUGGGGAUCAGCCUGACAUUGUUGGGUGCACUUCCUGGUUGACGGGCCAACAUCAGUUUUGACUGCCAGAAAAAGGCCAAGGGAAUGUGGCACCUUUGGGUGUGUUAUAGCCUUUGGUCAUAUAUGGUGGUUGGGACUGAGGAACGCAGUGUGCCGAAAGGCCGGGUUUCGACCACGUUCACACUGAGGAUGUUGGCAUAAUGGCUUUAAGCGACCCGUCUUGAAACACGGACCAAGGAGUCUAACAUGCAUGCGAGUGUUUGGGUGGAAAACCCUUACGCGUAAUGAAAGUGAAAGUUGAGAUCCCUGUCGUGGGGAGCAUCGACGCCCGGACCAGAACUUUUGUGACGGAUCUGCGGUAGAGCACGUAUGUUGGGACCCGAAAGAUGGUGAACUAUGCCUGAAUAGGGUGAAGCCAGAGGAAACUCUGGUGGAGGCUCGUAGCGAUUCUGACGUGCAAAUCGAUCGUCAAAUUUGGGUAUAGGGGCGAAAGACUAAU
RNAcentral lists this ribosomal RNA (948 nucleotides) under Amanita luteolovelata. RNAcentral's name for it is "partial 28S ribosomal RNA". It matches the Rfam family "Eukaryotic large subunit ribosomal RNA", at positions 1 to 935 of the family's 3401-position model. The record is from RNAcentral. Lineage: Eukaryota; Fungi; Basidiomycota; Agaricomycetes; Agaricales; Amanitaceae.